GAUGAACGCUGGCGGCGUGCCUAAUACAUGCAAGUCGAGCGAACAGAUGAGGAGCUUGCUCCUCUGACGUUAGCGGCGGACGGGUGAGUAACACGUGGAUAACCUACCUAUAAGACUGGGAUAACUUCGGGAAACCGGAGCUAAUACCGGAUAAUAUAUUGAACCGCAUGGUUCAAUAGUGAAAGACGGUUUUGCUGUCACUUAUAGAUGGAUCCGCGCCGCAUUAGCUAGUUGGUAAGGUAACGGCUUACCAAGGCAACGAUGCGUAGCCGACCUGAGAGGGUGAUCGGCCACACUGGAACUGAGACACGGUCCAGACUCCUACGGGAGGCAGCAGUAGGGAAUCUUCCGCAAUGGGCGAAAGCCUGACGGAGCAACGCCGCGUGAGUGAUGAAGGUCUUCGGAUCGUAAAACUCUGUUAUUGGGGAAGAACAAAUGUGUAAGUAACUAUGCACGUCUUGACGGUACCUAAUCAGAAAGCCACGGCUAACUACGUG
Molecule: ribosomal RNA, 497 nt
Filed under: uncultured bacterium
Lineage: Bacteria
Description: partial 16S ribosomal RNA
Rfam family: Bacterial small subunit ribosomal RNA
Source: RNAcentral